UUUUCCAUAAUGUAGUGGUUAUCACGUUCGCUUCACACGCGAGAGGUCCUGGGUUCGAGCCCCAGAUGAAACA
This 73-nucleotide transfer RNA is filed under the name Dreissena polymorpha. It matches the Rfam family "tRNA". From Rfam's summary of the family: Transfer RNA (tRNA) molecules are approximately 80 nucleotides in length. Lineage: Eukaryota; Metazoa; Mollusca; Bivalvia; Myida; Dreissenidae. The record is from Rfam by way of RNAcentral.